UGAAGGCAAGCUUAAGUAAAAAGUUCGAGAUGAAGGAUCUAGGACCAGCGACUAGAAUUCUUGGUAUGGAUAUCAUCAGGGACAGAAAGAAAGGUACUCUCAAGUUAUCACAGGAAAGAUAUCUUAAGCAGGUUUUAAGAACUUUUAACAUGGAGGAUUGCAAGGCUGUUGUAACUCCAAGUAAUUCGCAGUUUAAGCUUAAGAGUCUAACAGAGCAGGAGGUAAAAACAGAGAGUAGAUUGAUGGAUUCAGUUCCCUAUGCAAGUGCAGUGGGGAGUCUGAUGUAUGCUAUGAUCGGUUCAAGACCUGAUCUAGCCUUUGCCAUUGGAUUGGUUAGCAGAUUCAUGGCGAAUCCAGGAAGAUCUCAUUGGGCUGCGGUUAAGUGGAUUUUGAGGUAUUUAAAAGGAGCUACAGGAGUAUGUCUUACUUUCACAAAAUCAGAGAAAUUUGAGAUUGAAGGGUUUUGUGAUUCAGAUUAUGCUACAGACUUAGACAGGAGAAGGUCAGUUUCAGGCUAUGUUUUCAAAGUUGGUGGCAAUACGGUCAGUUGGAGAUCAUGUCUACAACAAGUAGUUGCUUUAUCUACUACGGAAGCAGAAUAUAUGUCUCUAUCUGAGGCUACUAAGGAAGGUCUGUGGCUUAAGGGAUUGUGUGGUGAAUUGGGUUUUAAAGAGGACAGUUUUAAACUCAAUUGUGAUUCACAAAGUGCUAUAUGUUUAGCAAAGAACAGUGUGCACCAUGACAGAACAAAGCAUGUUGAUACCAAAUAUCAUUUUAUCAGAGAUAUAGUCGAUGAAGGUUCAGUCAAGAUCCUAAAGGUUCACACUACAGCUAAUCCAGCAGACAUGCUCACAAAGUGCUUACCUGGAAACACGUUUGAGAAGUUCCUGGUGCUUCUCAAUGUAAUUCCGUAGUUGUUUUCAAAAGCGUCUUGAGAUUGCUCUUGUCGAUUUGGGCAUCUCACAAAGACAGAAGAUAUUGAAAAAAAAAAAAAAAAUUCAGUAUCGGUAACAUAAGAAAUCGACAACGUUUUUCAGAUUGUAAAGUUUGAAAAAUGUGAGAUGAGAUUGGUAAAAGUCAUCAUUUCAGGGUAACAGAGAAGAAGUGUUUCAUUACGGGUUGAUCUUCUCAAAUGGCAAAAUUUUCAGGUGGUCAAAUUUGAAAGUUUGGAAGCGUCAAAGGAAUUUGGGGUUUUACCUGCAAUUCACGAUGCUUAGUUUUUUGAAAUCAAAAGUGUCUUCAGCAGCUGCAGAUGAAAAGGAAGACAGUAAGAUUUCAGAAGUAAUUGCAAAUCACAGCAACAGAAACUGAAAUAACAUUUUGGUAAAGAGAUGGCUAUGGGAGUUUCGGAAUUUACCUGGGAUUGCAGAGCUGAGCUGCAUCGGUUAAGGUAGCAGCGGAAUCAGUCAGCGGUGAGGAUGAAUUAACGUCAAUCUAUCAUCGGAAAUGAGAGGAUCUAGAAAUAGUCGACGAUUUCUGGGUUUUGACAUGCUCCGGUGAAAAAGUUGAGAUGUUGGGUCGGUGAUGGUUAAAUCAGCGACAGCAGAUGCUAUCGUCGGUAAAGACGACAGUGGAGAUGAACGCCGGUAGCGACGAAACGGCGGUUAAGCUGGAAUCGUGGUGCUUCAUUUGCAGAGACGGUGGUGAGAUUCAUCGGCUUGUUUAAAGCCAUGAAUCGUGACGAUGGCGAGCUUCAAGGACGACGGUGAANNNNNNNNN
RNAcentral lists this long non-coding RNA (1719 nucleotides) under Eutrema salsugineum. Its description in RNAcentral is "long non-coding RNA (ESAL_LNC000260)". The record is from RNAcentral. Lineage: Eukaryota; Viridiplantae; Streptophyta; Magnoliopsida; Brassicales; Brassicaceae.